This 397-nucleotide ribosomal RNA is filed under the name uncultured bacterium. Its description in RNAcentral is "partial 16S ribosomal RNA". It matches the Rfam family "Bacterial small subunit ribosomal RNA", at positions 340 to 735 of the family's 1533-position model. The record is from RNAcentral.
UACGGGAGGCAGCAGUAGGGAAUAUUGGUCAAUGGRUGAGAGYCUGAACCAGCCAUGCCGCGUGCAGGAAGACGGCCUUCUGGGUUGUAAACUGCUUUUGYCAGGGGAUAAAAUUUCCKUGCGWGGRAAAUUGAAGGUACCUGGUGAAUAAGCCMCGGCUAACUACGUGCCAGCAGCCGCGGUAAUACGUAGGBGGCAAGCGUUGUCCGGAUUUAUUGGGUUUAAAGGGUGCGUAGGCGGCCUAUUAAGUCAGUGCUGAAAUAUCCCGGCUUAACCGGGAGGGUGGCAUUGAUACUGAUGGGCUAGAGUACAGAYGAGGUAGGCGGAAUUGACGGUGUAGCGGUGAAAUGCUUAGAUAUCGUCAAGAACACCUAUAGCGAAGGCAGCUUACUAGGCU